Molecule: ribosomal RNA, 840 nt
Filed under: uncultured bacterium
Lineage: Bacteria
Description: partial 16S rRNA
Rfam family: Bacterial small subunit ribosomal RNA
Source: RNAcentral
GGCUCAGGAUGAACGCUGGCGGCGUGCCUAACACAUGCAAGUCGAACGGUGGUAGUAAUAUCACAGUGGCGCACGGGUGAGUAACACGUAGCUAAUCUGCCCCUGGGUGUGGGAUAACGUUCCGAAAGGAAUGCUAAUACCGCAUAAGCUCACGCGAAGUAGAAGCGAGUGAGAAAAGGCGCAAGUCGCCGAGGGAGGAGGCUGCGGCCCAUCAGGUAGUUGGUAGGGUAAAGGCCUACCAAGCCGACGACGGGUAGGGGGUCUGAGAGGAUGAUCCCCCACACUGGGACUGAGACACGGCCCAGACUCCUACGGGAGGCAGCAGUGAGGGAUAUUGGUCAAUGGGCGAAAGCCUGAACCAGCGACGCCGCGUGGGUGAUGAAGGCCUUCGGGUCGUAAAGCCCUUUUGGGGGUGACGAGAACAAGGACGGUAGCCCCAGAAUAAGUCUCGGCUAACUACGUGCCAGCAGCCGCGGUAAAACGUAGGAGGCAAGCGUUAUCCGGAGUUACUGGGCGUAAAGCGCGUGUAGGCGGCUUGGUAAGUGGGUCGUGAAAGCACCCGGCUAAACUGGGUGAGGACGAUCGAGACUGCCAGGCUAGAGGGUGGUAGAGGGACAGGGAAUUCCGGGUGUAGCGGUGAAAUGUGUAGAGAUCCGGAGGAACACCAGUGGCGAAGGCGCUGUCCUGGGCCACCUCUGACGCUGAUACGCGAAGGCGUGGGGAGCGAACGGGAUUAGAGACCCCGGUAGUCCACGCGGUAAACGAUGCAGACUGGGUGUUCACUUACCUAACGGUAAGGGAGUGCCGAAGCUAACGCGGUAAGUCUGCCGCCUGGGGAGU